Long non-coding RNA from Magnolia sinica, 675 nucleotides. RefSeq lists it as uncharacterized. NCBI's taxonomy places the organism in Eukaryota, Viridiplantae, Streptophyta, Magnoliopsida, Magnoliales, Magnoliaceae. The transcript is spliced from 2 exons. The record is from RefSeq and is a predicted model, not a curated record.
AGAGCUUGCCAACCAUUCAAGCUCCCUAUAAACUGCCCAAUGCUAAUCCACUUAUUUUUUGCAGAUGAUGCCAUCUUAUUUUUGAAUGGCAGGAUCCGAAUGUUGCGCGCUCUCCUGAGGUUCAUUAAAGAUUAUGAAAUAGCGUCUGGGCAAAGAGUGAACACCAAUAAAACAUCCUUCAUCCUUCCCAAGAAAGCGUCGUCAACCAAAGGCCGAAAAAUCAACAACAUGACGGGUUCAAACAGGCCUAUCUCCGCUGUACCUAUUUGGGUAUUCCUCUGAAGAAAGGUAAAAUCCAGGCGUCUCUCAUGCUUCCAUUGGUUCAGAAAAUUCUAGCUAAGAUUGCGGGAUGGAAAGCAAGACUCCUCAACCCUGCCGCUAGAAUGAAACAUGCAGGUUGCUUGAAUCAGGACUGGCAAAUUUUUUUGGGGGGAACGCGGAGGGUAAGAUGAAGAAGCAUUAGAUUAGAUGGUCGAAGUUGUGUUUCCCUUUGUAGGAGGGAGGAUUGGGUUUUAGAAGUAUGGAGGACAUCAUGCAAGCAUUCAAGACUAAAAUGAGCAUGAAUUUUUUGAAGGGGCGAUCUCUAUGGGCGAGACUCAUGUCAACUAAGUAUAUUAGGAAGCUUAUCAGGCCUAUGAGCUCGAAUUCGAUGGUCAACUCGACAGUUUGGAAGGA